This 508-nucleotide ribosomal RNA is filed under the name Glomus hoi. Its description in RNAcentral is "SSU rRNA". It matches the Rfam family "Eukaryotic small subunit ribosomal RNA", at positions 569 to 1078 of the family's 1831-position model. The record is from RNAcentral. Lineage: Eukaryota; Fungi; Glomeromycota; Glomeromycetes; Glomerales; Glomeraceae.
AGCAGCCGCGGUAAUUCCAGCUCCAAUAGCGUAUAUUAAAGUUGUUGCAGUUAAAAAGCUCGUAGUUGAAUUUCGGGAUCAAUAUGUCGGUCGUGCCUUCGGUACGCACUGGUAUCAUUGGUCUCUCCUUUCUGACGAACCAUGAUGUCAUUAAUUUGGUGUUAUGGGGAGUUAGGACUGUUACUUUGAAAAAAUUAGAGUGUUUAAAGCAGGCUUUAGCUUGAAUACAUUAGCAUGGAAUAAUGAAAUAGGACGUUCGAACCUAUUUUGUUGGUUUCUAGGAUCAACGUAAUGAUUAAUAGGGAUAGUUGGGGGCAUUAGUAUUCAAUUGUCAGAGGUGAAAUUCUUGGAUUUAUUGAAGACUAACUACUGCGAAAGCAUUUGCCAAGGAUGUUUUCAUUAAUCGAGAACGAAAGUUAGGGGAUCGAAGACGAUCAGAUACCGUCGUAGUCUUAACCAUAAACUAUGCCGACUAGGGAUCGGAUGAUGUUAAUUUUUUAAUGACUCA